AGCUCCAAUAGCGUAUAUUAAAGUUGUUGCAGUUAAAAAGCUCGUAGUUGGAUUUCUGGCUGAGGUACUUGACCCGCCGCGGUUACGCGUGUGAGUGUCGGCGUGCCUCGGCCAUCCUUCUAGAAAUUGGCCCUGCCCUUCAUUGUGGUUGGGGUCAGGAUCUAGAUCUUUUACUUUGAAAAAAUUAGAGUGUUUAAAGCAAGCGUUGCGUGAAUACAUUAGCAUGGAAUAAUAACUUAGGACUUCGGUUCUAUUUUGUUGGUUUCUAGGACUGAAGUAAUGAUUGAUAGGGAUAGUUGGGGGUGCUAGUAUUCAGCGGCCAGAGGUGAAAUUCUUGGAUUCGCUGAAGACUAACUUAUGCGAAAGCAUUCACCAAGGAUGUCUUCUUUAAUCAAGAACG
This 400-nucleotide ribosomal RNA is filed under the name phytoplankton environmental sample. Its description in RNAcentral is "partial small subunit ribosomal RNA". It matches the Rfam family "Eukaryotic small subunit ribosomal RNA", at positions 587 to 985 of the family's 1831-position model. The record is from RNAcentral.